UCACGACUGCGGUCCUUUUGGGCCACCUCCCAUCCGUGUCUAUUGUACCCUAGUUGCUUCGGCGGGCCCGCCGCUUGUCGGCCGCCGGGGGGGCGCCUCUGCCCCCCGGGCCCGUGCCCGCCGGAGACCCCAACACGAACACUGUCUGAAAGCGUGCAGUCUGAGUUGAUUGAAUGCAAUCAGUUAAAACUUUCAACAAUGGAUCUCUUGGUUCCGGCAUCGAUGAAGAACGCAGCGAAAUGCGAUAACUAAUGUGAAUUGCAGAAUUCAGUGAAUCAUCGAGUCUUUGAACGCACAUUGCGCCCCCUGGUAUUCCGGGGGGCAUGCCUGUCCGAGCGUCAUUGCUGCCCUCAAGCCCGGCUUGUGUGUGGGUCGCCGUCCCCCUCUCCGGGGGGACGGGCCCGAAAGGCAGCGGCGGCACCGCGUCCGAUCCUCGAGCGUAUGGGGCUUUGUCACAUGCUCUGUAGGAUUGGCCGGCGCCUGCCGACGUUUUCCAACCAUUCUUUCCAGGUUGACCUCGGAUCAGGUAGGGAUACCCGCUGAACUUAAGCAUAUC
This 556-nucleotide ribosomal RNA is filed under the name Eurotiomycetes sp. E2X-2011. RNAcentral's name for it is "eukaryotic LSU rRNA". The stretch from base 188 to 341 matches the Rfam family "5.8S ribosomal RNA". The record is from RNAcentral. Lineage: Eukaryota; Fungi; Ascomycota; Eurotiomycetes.